UACGUAGGGACCAAGCGUUGUUCGGAUUUACUGGGCGUAAAGGGCGCGUAGGCGGCAAUUCAAGUCAUCUGUGAAAUCUCCGGGCUUAACUCGGAACGGUCAAAUGAUACUGCUUUGCUAGAGUGCGGAAGGGGCAAUCGGAAUUCUUGGUGUAGCGGUGAAAUGCGUAGAUAUCAAGAGGAACACCUGAGGUGAAGACGGGUUGCUGGGCCGACACUGACGCUGAUGCGCGAAAGCCAGGGGAGCAAACGGG
Molecule: ribosomal RNA, 253 nt
Filed under: uncultured bacterium
Lineage: Bacteria
Description: partial 16S ribosomal RNA
Rfam family: Bacterial small subunit ribosomal RNA
Source: RNAcentral